GACGAACGCUGGCGGCGUGCCUAAUACAUGCAAGUUGAGCGCUGAAGGUUGGUACUUGUACCAACUGGAUGAGCAGCGAACGGGUGAGUAACGCGUGGGGAAUCUGCCUUUGAGCGGGGGACAACAUUUGGAAACGAAUGCUAAUACCGCAUAAAAACUUUAAAAACAAGUUUUAAGUUUGAAAGAUGCAAUUGCAUCACUCAAAGAUGAUCCCGCGUUGUAUUAGCUAGUUGGUGAGGUAAAGGCUCACCAAGGCGAUGAUACAUAGCCGACCUGAGAGGGUGAUCGGCCACAUUGGGACUGAGACACGGCCCAAACUCCUACGGGAGGCAGCAGUAGGGAAUCUUCGGCAAUGGACGAAAGUCUGACCGAGCAACGCCGCGCGAGUGAAGAAGGGUUUCGGAUCGUAAAACUCUGUUGGUAGAGAAGAACGUUGGUGAGAGUGGAAAGCUCAUCAAGUGACGGUAACUACCCAGAAAGGGACGGCUAACUACGUG
RNAcentral lists this ribosomal RNA (497 nucleotides) under uncultured bacterium. Its description in RNAcentral is "partial 16S ribosomal RNA". It matches the Rfam family "Bacterial small subunit ribosomal RNA", at positions 28 to 507 of the family's 1533-position model. The record is from RNAcentral.